GUCCUUGUAGCGCAAUGGAUAGUGCGUAAGACUUCUAAUCUAAAAGUCGUGGGCUCGAAUCCCACCUAGGAUG
RNAcentral lists this transfer RNA (73 nucleotides) under Trichonephila inaurata madagascariensis. It matches the Rfam family "tRNA". From Rfam's summary of the family: Transfer RNA (tRNA) molecules are approximately 80 nucleotides in length. Their secondary structure includes four short double-helical elements and three loops (D, anti-codon, and T loops). Further hydrogen bonds mediate the characteristic L-shaped molecular structure. tRNAs have two regions of fundamental functional importance: the anti-codon, which is responsible for specific mRNA codon recognition, and the 3' end, to which the tRNAs corresponding amino acid is attached (by aminoacyl-tRNA synthetases). tRNAs cope with the degeneracy of the genetic code in two manners: having more than one tRNA (with a specific anti-codon) for a particular amino acid; and 'wobble' base-pairing, i.e. permitting non-standard base-pairing at the 3rd anti-codon position. The record is from Rfam by way of RNAcentral. Lineage: Eukaryota; Metazoa; Arthropoda; Arachnida; Araneae; Nephilidae.